Long non-coding RNA from Nerophis ophidion (straightnose pipefish), 3425 nucleotides. RefSeq lists it as uncharacterized. The transcript has 37 exons. The record is from RefSeq and is a predicted model, not a curated record. NCBI's taxonomy places the organism in Eukaryota, Metazoa, Chordata, Actinopteri, Syngnathiformes, Syngnathidae.
GCGGCACAGCAUAUAUAAAGCUCCCACCCGUAAGAACCACCCCUUUCCAACGUCUACCAACAUUACAUGCUUCUCACGAUGUCAAUCCACGAAGACCUGCAGACAUGCAAAAUGGUCCAGUUGCUGUGUAAAGAUCCUUGACUGCAAGGAGAGGCAUAGGCCGCAUACCACAAAAGAUGAUUCCUGAGCAACCCAACACCACAUAUGAUGUGCAAAGAGGAACCGAUGCCAUCUUGGGUCGAGUAGACAUGAUAGUGCCUCUGAUGGCUGUUUGAACAGAUGUCAUCCUGCCUUCCACGGAAUACUCCAGUUCACCAGUCAAGCAUGGCAGACUUAAGGGUAAAAGCUGCAUACCAAAAAAGAUGAUGGUGCCUCUGAUGGCUGUUUGAGCAGAUGUCAUCCUACCCACCAUGGAAUAUUCCAGUUUACCAGUCAAACAUGGCAGGCUUGAAGGUAAAGGCUGCAUACCACAAAAGAUGAUGGUGCCUCUGAUGGCUGUUUGAGCAGAUGUCGUCAUGAAUUCCGCAGAAGACACCAGUCAAGCAUGGCAGGAACUGGAGGUAAAGGCUGCAUACCACAAAAGAUGAUGGUGCCUCUGAUGGCUGUUUGAGCAGAUGUCGUCAUGAAUUCCGCAGAAGACACCAGUCAAGCAUGGCAGGAACUGGAGGUGAGCUAAGCGUAAAAAGGCUGAAUGUUACAGGAACGUAUUUCCUGUAACAUGCAAAUAGAAUAAAAUAUUUUAAUUAAAAACAAAGUAAAGUGACCAGUCAUUUUGAUGUUUUCCUGGAAAGUUGUAUAGGUGUCAUCAAACCCAAAUGGCUUUAAAAUGUUUGUCCUCUUCUCUAGGUAAAGGCUGCAUACCACAAAAGAUGGUGAGUAAAUGUGUAUUGCCAAAUAAACAACUUGAGACAAUGAUCAGGAGUGAUGAAUGGAAUCAGGUCACUGAUCCAGUUGAGGAGAUUUCCAUUUAACUGAUCCUGACUUUUUUUAUUUUUUUAAAGAAACAGUUGAAUUUAUAGAAUAUCCCACUAAUUUUUGUGUUAUUGCAGAUGGUGCCUCUGAUGGCUGUUUGAGCAGAUGUCGUCAUGAAUUCCGCAGAAGACACCAGUCAAGCAUGGCAGGAACUGGAGGUGAGCUAAGCGUAAAAAGGCUGAAUGUUACAGGAACGUAUUUCCUGUAACAUGCAAAUAGAAUAAAAUAUUUUAAUUAAAAACAAAGUAAAGUGACCAGUCAUUUUGAUGUUUUCCUGGAAAGUUGUAUAGGUGUCAUCAAACCCAAAUGGCUUUAAAAUGUUUGUCCUCUUCUCUAGGUAAAGGCUGCAUACCACAAAAGAUGGUGAGUAAAUGUGUAUUGCCAAAUAAACAACUUGAGACAAUGAUCAGGAGUGAUGAAUGGAAUCAGGUCACUGAUCCAGUUGAGGAGAUUUCCAUUUAACUGAUCCUGACUUUUUUUAUUUUUUUAAAGAAACAGUUGAAUUUAUAGAAUAUCCCACUAAUUUUUGUGUUAUUGCAGAUGGUGCCUCUGAUGGCUGUUUGAGCAGAUGUCGUCAUGAAUUCCGCAGAAGACACCAGUCAAGCAUGGCAGGAACUGGAGGUAAAGGCUGCAUAUCACAAAAGAUGAUGGUGCCUCUGAUGGCUGUUUGAGCAGAUGUCGUCAUGAAUUCCGCAGAAGACACCAGUCAAGCAUGGCAGGAACUGGAGGUGAGCUAAGCGUAAAAAGGCUGAAUGUUACAGGAACGUAUUUCCUGUAACAUGCAAAUAGAAUAAAAUAUUUUAAUUAAAAACAAAGUAAAGUGACCAGUCAUUUUGAUGUUUUCCUGGAAAGUUGUAUAGGUGUCAUCAAACCCAAAUGGCUUUAAAAUGUUUGUCCUCUUCUCUAGGUAAAGGCUGCAUACCACAAAAGAUGGUGAGUAAAUGUGUAUUGCCAAAUAAACAACUUGAGACAAUGAUCAGGAGUGAUGAAUGGAAUCAGGUCACUGAUCCAGUUGAGGAGAUUUCCAUUUAACUGAUCCUGACUUUUUUUAUUUUUUUAAAGAAACAGUUGAAUUUAUAGAAUAUCCCACUAAUUUUUGUGUUAUUGCAGAUGGUGCCUCUGAUGGCUGUUUGAGCAGAUGUCGUCAUGAAUUCCGCAGAAGACACCAGUCAAGCAUGGCAGGAACUGGAGGUGAGCUAAGCGUAAAAAGGCUGAAUGUUACAGGAACGUAUUUCCUGUAACAUGCAAAUAGAAUAAAAUAUUUUAAUUAAAAACAAAGUAAAGUGACCAGUCAUUUUGAUGUUUUCCUGGAAAGUUGUAUAGGUGUCAUCAAACCCAAAUGGCUUUAAAAUGUUUGUCCUCUUCUCUAGGUAAAGGCUGCAUACCACAAAAGAUGGUGAGUAAAUGUGUAUUGCCAAAUAAACAACUUGAGACAAUGAUCAGGAGUGAUGAAUGGAAUCAGGUCACUGAUCCAGUUGAGGAGAUUUCCAUUUAACUGAUCCUGACUUUUUUUAUUUUUUUAAAGAAACAGUUGAAUUUAUAGAAUAUCCCACUAAUUUUUGUGUUAUUGCAGAUGGUGCCUCUGAUGGCUGUUUGAGCAGAUGUCGUCAUGAAUUCCGCAGAAGACACCAGUCAAGCAUGGCAGGAACUGGAGGUAAAGGCUGCAUAUCACAAAAGAUGGUGAGUAAAUGUGUAUUGCCAAAUAAACAACUUGAGACAAUGAUCAGGAGUGAUGAAUGGAAUCAGGUCACUGAUCCAGUUGAGGAAAUUUCAAUUUAACUGAUCCUGACUUUUUUAAUUUUUUUAAAGAAACAGUUGAAUUUAUAGAAUAUCCCACUAAUUUUUGUGUUAUUGCAGAUGGUGCCUCUGAUGGCUGUUUGAGCAGAUGUCGUCAUGAAUUCCGCAGAAGACACCAGUCAAGCAUGGCAGGAACUGGAGGUAAAGGCUGCAUACCACAAAAGAUGAUGGUGCCUCUGAUGGCUGUUUGAGCAGAUGUCGUCCUGCAUUCCACAGAAGACUUCAGUUUAUCAGUCAACCAUGGCAGACUUUGAGGAUGUCGUCGUGCCUUCCACGGACGACUCCAGUUUACUGGUCAAGCAUGGCAGACUUAGAGGUCUAGUUGGUGCAAAUAUCCUUGACUGCAAGGAGAGAGGUGUCUUGGAAGUAUGUGCAGCUGUUCAAGUCAAAUAUUUUCAAAGUGAGGUAAAGGCUGCAUACCACAAAAGAUGAUACAUGAGCAACAGAACAUUUGAUGUUGACCUGCCUUCCACAUAGGACUACAGUUUUACCAGUCAAGCAUGGUAGAUUUGGAGGGAACAUUGCUGGAUUAAUUUGGAAAAUGAAGAACUGUCUUUAAUGACCUGAAUUGGAUGUCUGGCUGGCCCCUAUGUGCAUCUGUUUAAACAAUCAUCUUGUACACUAACCUGUAUUUUCAAAUAAACAAUUGCAUAUUU